GAAUUGUGCUUUUCAAAAGCUAAACUAUUGAAACAAUUUGGCAUCAGAAUUUGUCUCCAAGCCCACUGGUGGUUCAUCAAGAUGAGAUGCUCACCCAGAUU
Long non-coding RNA from Sebastes umbrosus (honeycomb rockfish), 101 nucleotides. RefSeq lists it as uncharacterized. The transcript has 3 exons. NCBI's taxonomy places the organism in Eukaryota, Metazoa, Chordata, Actinopteri, Perciformes, Sebastidae. The record is from RefSeq and is a predicted model, not a curated record.